GUGAAUCAUCGAAUUUUUGAACGCAAAUUGCACUCUCUUCGAAGACUAUGCCUGUUUGAGGGUCAGCCUAAAAAAAAUCGACAUAGUUGCUGUUAUGCUGUGCCAUUCGUCGGAAGUUGGGUCAUCUUAAACCUUUGGGUUUAUGCGGCUUAAUAUUUUCUUUACGAUUCCAAGAACCUUUCUAAGCUUUUAUUUUCUUAUACGCUUAAGG
Molecule: unclassified non-coding RNA, 211 nt
Filed under: Glomus sp.
Lineage: Eukaryota; Fungi; Glomeromycota; Glomeromycetes; Glomerales; Glomeraceae
Description: partial contains 5.8S ribosomal RNA and internal transcribed spacer 2
Source: RNAcentral